UUGAACGCUGGCGGCAGGCCUAACACCUGCAAGUCGAGCGGAUGAAGGGAGCUUGCUCCUGGAUUCAGCGGCGGACGGGUGAGUAAUGCCUAGGAAUCUGCCUGGUAGUGGGGGAUAACGUCCGGAAACGGGCGCUAAUACCGCAUACGUCCUGAGGGAGAAUGUGGGGGAUCUUCGGACCUCACGCUAUCCGAUGAGCCUAGGUCGGAUUAGCUAGUUGGUGGGGUAAAGGCCUACCAAGGCGACGAUCCGUAACUGGUCUGAGAGGAUGAUCAGUCACACUGGAACUGAGACACGGUCCAGACUCCUACGGGAGGCAGCAGUGGGGAAUAUUGGACAAUGGGCGAAAGCCUGAUCCAGCCAUGCCGCGUGUGUGAAGAAGGUCUUCGGAUUGUAAAGCACUUUAAGUUGGGAGGAAGGGCAGUAAGUUAAUACCUUGCUGUUUUGACGUUACCAACAGAAUAAGCACCGGCUAACUUCGUG
This 483-nucleotide ribosomal RNA is filed under the name uncultured bacterium. RNAcentral describes it as "partial 16S ribosomal RNA". It matches the Rfam family "Bacterial small subunit ribosomal RNA", at positions 30 to 507 of the family's 1533-position model. The record is from RNAcentral.